Molecule: small nuclear RNA, 135 nt
Organism: Saimiri boliviensis boliviensis (Bolivian squirrel monkey)
Lineage: Eukaryota; Metazoa; Chordata; Mammalia; Primates; Cebidae
Gene: U4
Rfam family: U4 spliceosomal RNA
About the family: U4 small nuclear RNA (U4 snRNA) is a component of the major U2-dependent spliceosome. The structure of U4 snRNA from yeast and human has been reported.
Source: Ensembl
AGCUUUGUGCAGUGGCAGUAUCGUAGCCAAUGAAGUUUAGGCGAGGUGCGAUUAUUGCUAAUUGAGAAGCUACAAAUUCAGAUAUUCAGGUGAUAAUCUCCUAAAUGUUAAAUGUUAAUGACUUUCGUUCCAAGU